AGUACACACUGCUCUUCACCUCUGUUCUCUUCAACAAUGCGUUUUAUCUACUACAAAGGAUAUCACUUGGGAAGGAAUUUCUUGAAACUGCUCCCAAGAGAGCCAUUGGACCAUGUGGUAAACAACUCCUAGCUGAUGGAUUAUUGGGAAUAUUAACAUCAUCCAGAAUGCUAUGGGGAGAAGACAACUGGAAGCUCCGUGUGGACAAACCUCCUGGACUCUGCCCCACAUAUCUCUUCCCUUGGCUGAUUUGAAUUUGUAUCCUUUCACUGUGAUAAACCACAACCAGAUUAUUACAGCUGUCAGCAAGUUCUUCUAUUGAAUUGUUGAAACUGAGGGUGGUCUUGGGAACCCCUGAACUCUACUGUUGGUGUCAGGAGUGAGGGAAGUCUUGUGGACUGUACUCCCUGACCUCACAGUUAGAAGCUGACAGCUGACACGCCCUUCCUUUGUGCAUUUUAUCCUGGGACAAAAUGAGAAGACAUCCUUCAGUUCCCAUCUUGGAUGGCAUAACUUCAAAACCAAGGGAGAUGGAGGAGUUUUAGAGGAGUAGAAGGCUGCAAGCAAGAACUGAUGCAUUACAUCUCCAGUCACCUCACUCUAAGAUUGUCCUGUAGCUAAGACUGUUGAAUGAGACUGUUGUUCUUCAGUUUGCAGCCACAAAGCACGGAGGCAUCUCCCCAAGAAUCCACUGCAGGGAGGAUGAACAGCCCUUACCUGGAUUUUUGCUUUAUCUAAAAAUAUAUUUGUAGAAGAAGGAGCAUUCUAGUUUCCAAAUACAAAGGGCAAUCUCCUUCUCUGUGUGUGCACGUGCAAACAAACACACUUCUACAAGUAAGCAUUCUUCUUUAUUAUCAUAGUCAUCAUCAUCACUGGGUUGGCAACUAAAAACAAAACUACAAAACUCUCAUGUUAGCAGUUGAGUAACUUUUAAUAACCAGAUACAAACCAUUCUUCAUUGUUUACAAGGGGCAUUAAAAAGAAAAGGAGGUUGAACUGCAAUGUGAAGUGUAGUUAAAUAUGUAGACAUCUUGGAUUCUAGAAGAGUUUGUAAUGGAUUAAAGGGUUAAGCUAUGAAAUUGUUGCCCUCUGUGAUUUUUCCACACUAGAACAGACUGACAUGGUUUGAAGCAGUUGGGCUUUAACCUAUAGAUAGGAGGACAGAGAUGAUUGCCUAUGAAGCAAUUAUUAAAUAGCUGCAUUUUGGCAUGUUCUAGUUGAAAAGAUUUAGUUUUACCUAUAUCACCUCAUCAUCACUAAUUUAAUCAUCCUCAGAAAAUGCAAAAAUAAUGAUGUACAUUUGACAAGUCUUAUACAAAAUUAUGUUUCAUAGCUUUGUGGUCAGAAUUAAGCCAUGUUCUAAAAUACAAAUGAAUAGUUUACAGCCCACUAAUUCCUAACUGUAAGUGUUAAGUCUAUAUAAAAAUAAGAGACAAGCUUGUGAUCAGGAAUAGCUUCCAAUUAUGAAAAAUUUAAAUAAAAAUAAUAGAAUGUGCUUAAUUUAUUUAUCAUAUACAAAGUAGACAUAUGUGACCAAAAUGAUUCAUUAUUUUUACGAUUUUCAUGGGAAUAAGUUUGACAAUAUUAAGUGCUGGAGAUAGAAUAUCAGGUAAUCUUAAAUACUGUUCAUAGGAAUGUACAACCAUUUUGGAGAACAGUUGGAAUUAUCCAAAGAAAGCUGAAGAUUUUCCUAACUUAUAAUUUUAAAAAUUGGCACAUGCCCUCAAGUAACAGUUGCAUACCUAAGGAGACAUGUGUAAGUAUUUUUACAGCAGCAUUAUUUAUAAUAGCCCAAAUUGGAAAUAACCUAAAAUCAUAUGUUCUUACAAAGGAGUACUACACAACAGUGAAAGCAAAUAAACUAUAGCUAAAUGUUAUCUAUCUUGAAGGCAUUUAUAAGAAUAAUGAUGCUUUCACAAAGUAAAUUGCAGGAUGUUAUAUACAAUGUGAUACAAUUCAUGUAAGUUACCAAACAUGCAACACAAUACAUAACAUUGUCCAAGGAUAAGUAUAAAUGCAGUAAAGGUAUAAAUAAAUGUAGGAUUAUGAUGCUUGCUUGAA
Homo sapiens (human) is the source of this 2061-nucleotide long non-coding RNA. Ensembl annotates it as long intergenic non-protein coding RNA 1915. NCBI's taxonomy places the organism in Eukaryota, Metazoa, Chordata, Mammalia, Primates, Hominidae. The record is from Ensembl.